Molecule: unclassified non-coding RNA, 385 nt
Filed under: uncultured Gemmatimonadaceae bacterium
Lineage: Bacteria; Pseudomonadati; Gemmatimonadota; Gemmatimonadia; Gemmatimonadales; Gemmatimonadaceae
Description: contains 16S-23S intergenic spacer region
Source: RNAcentral
UCCGGUUUGGCACCGGCAGUCCCCCGAGAGUCCUCAGCAGCUUGCGCUCUGUUAGCAACACGGGGCGGGGGUUGCGCUCGUUGCGGGACUUAACCCAACAUCUCACGACACGAGCUGACGACAGCCAUGCAGCACCUGUGCACGGGCUCCGAAGAGGGGCCGGUGUUUCCACCAGCUUUCCCGUGCAUGUCAAGCCUAGGUAAGGUUCUGCGCGUUGCGUCGAAUUAAACCACAUGCUCCACCGCUUGUGCGGGCCCCCGUCAAUUCCUUUGAGUUUCAGCCUUGCGGCCGUACUCCCCAGGCGGGGCACUUCAUGCGUUAGCGCCGGUACUCCAAGGGUCGCUCCCCCAGGCACCUAGUACCCAUCGUUUACGGCGUGGACUAC